UCGAGCGAACAGAUGAGAAGCUUGCUUCUCUGAUGUUAGCGGCGGACGGGUGAGUAACACGUGGGUAACCUACCUAUAAGACUGGGAUAACUCCGGGAAACCGGGGCUAAUACCGGAUAAUAUUUUGAACCGCAUGGUUCAAUAGUGAAAGACGGUUUCGGCUGUCACUUAUAGAUGGACCCGCGCCGUAUUAGCUAGUUGGUAAGGUAACGGCUUACCAAGGCGACGAUACGUAGCCGACCUGAGAGGGUGAUCGGCCACACUGGAACUGAGACACGGUCCAGACUCCUACGGGAGGCAGCAGUAGGGAAUCUUCCGCAAUGGGCGAAAGCCUGACGGAGCAACGCCGCGUGAGUGAUGAAGGUCUUCGGAUCGUAAAACUCUGUUGUUAGGGAAGAACAAAUUUGUUAGUAACUGAACAAGUCUUGACGGUACCUAACCAGAAAGCCACGGCUAACUACGUGCCAGCAGCCGCGGUAAUACGUAGGUGGCAAGCGUUAUCCGGAAUUAUUGGGCGUAAAGCGCGCGUAGGCGGUUUCUUAAGUCUGAUGUGAAAGCCCACGGCUCAACCGUGGAGGGUCAUUGGAAACUGGGAAACUUGAGUGCAGAAGAGGAGAGUGGAAUUCCAUGUGUAGCGGUGAAAUGCGCAGAGAUAUGGAGGAACACCAGUGGCGAAGGCGGCUCUCUGGUCUGUAACUGACGCUGAUGUGCGAAAGCGUGGGGAUCAAACAGGAUUAGAUACCCUGGUAGUCCACGCCGUAAACGAUGAGUGCUAAGUGUUAGGGGGUUUCCGCCCCUUAGUGCUGCAGCUAACGCAUUAAGCACUCCGCCUGGGGAGUACGACCGCAAGGUUGAAACUCAAAGGAAUUGACGGGGACCCGCACAAGCGGUGGAGCAUGUGGUUUAAUUCGAAGCAACGCGAAGAACCUUACCAAAUCUUGACAUCCUUUGACCGCUCUAGAGAUAGAGUCUUCCCCUUCGGGGGACAAAGUGACAGGUGGUGCAUGGUUGUCGUCAGCUCGUGUCGUGAGAUGUUGGGUUAAGUCCCGCAACGAGCGCAACCCUUAAGCUUAGUUGCCAUCAUUAAGUUGGGCACUCUAGGUUGACUGCCGGUGACAAACCGGAGGAAGGUGGGGAUGACGUCAAAUCAUCAUGCCCCUUAUGAUUUGGGCUACACACGUGCUACAAUGGAUAAUACAAAGGGCAGCGAAUCCGCGAGGCCAAGCAAAUCCCAUAAAAUUAUUCUCAGUUCGGAUUGUAGUCUGCAACUCGACUACAUGAAGCUGGAAUCGCUAGUAAUCGUAGAUCAGCAUGCUACGGUGAAUACGUUCCCGGGUCUUGUACACACCGCCCGUCACACCACGAGAGUUUGUAACACCCGAAGCCGGUGGAGUAACCUUUUAGGAGCU
RNAcentral lists this ribosomal RNA (1409 nucleotides) under Staphylococcus sp. 168D. Its description in RNAcentral is "bacterial SSU rRNA". It matches the Rfam family "Bacterial small subunit ribosomal RNA". RNAcentral also lists the same sequence under 1 other name. The record is from RNAcentral. Lineage: Bacteria; Bacillati; Bacillota; Bacilli; Caryophanales; Staphylococcaceae.